AUUGAACGCUGGCGGCAUGCUUUACACAUGCAAGUCGAACGGUAACAGGCCGCAAGGUGCUGACGAGUGGCGAACGGGUGCGUAAUGCAUCGGAACGUGCCCAGUCGUGGGGGAUAACUACUCGAAAGAGUAGCUAAUACCGCAUACGAUCUAUGGAUGAAAGCGGGGGACCGUAAGGCCUCGCGCGAUUGGAGCGGCCGCUGUCAGAUUAGGUAGUUGGUGGGGUAAAGGCUCACCAAGCCAACGAUCUGUAGCUGGUCUGAGAGGACAACCGGCCACACUGGGACUGAGACACGGCCCAGACUCCUACGGGAGGCAGCAGUGGGGAAUUUUGGACAAUGGGCGCAAGCCUGAUCCAGCAAUGCCGCGUGCAGGAAGAAGGCCUUCGGGUUGUAAACUGCUUUUGUACGGAACGAAACGGCUCUGGUUAAUACCCGGGGCUAAUGACGGUACCGUAAGAAUAAGCACCGGCUAACUACGUG
This 482-nucleotide ribosomal RNA is filed under the name uncultured bacterium. RNAcentral describes it as "partial 16S ribosomal RNA". It matches the Rfam family "Bacterial small subunit ribosomal RNA", at positions 30 to 507 of the family's 1533-position model. The record is from RNAcentral.